GGUAAUGUGGCUCAGUGGUAGAGUGCUUGCGUAGCAUGCAUGAAGCCCUGGGUUCGAUUCCUCAGUACCA
RNAcentral lists this transfer RNA (70 nucleotides) under Dipodomys ordii (Ord's kangaroo rat). It matches the Rfam family "tRNA". From Rfam's summary of the family: Transfer RNA (tRNA) molecules are approximately 80 nucleotides in length. The record is from Rfam by way of RNAcentral. Lineage: Eukaryota; Metazoa; Chordata; Mammalia; Rodentia; Heteromyidae.